RNAcentral lists this long non-coding RNA (933 nucleotides) under Brassica napus (rape). RNAcentral describes it as "long non-coding RNA (BNAP_LNC021262)". Lineage: Eukaryota; Viridiplantae; Streptophyta; Magnoliopsida; Brassicales; Brassicaceae. The record is from RNAcentral.
UAUGUGAUGAGUGCGAGGGCCAGAGAUAUCUGGGCUAGCAACGCAUAUGAGUACGAGAGCCCAGAGAGAUCUGGGCUAGCGAUGCAUAUGAGUACGGGGGCCCAGAGAAAUCUGAGCUAGCGACGUAUAGAGUGUGGGGGCACAGAGACAUCUAAGCUAGCAACACAUAUGUGAUGAGUACAGGGGCCCAGAGACGUCUGAGCUAGCAACAUAUAUAUUGUGUGGUGCGGGGUGCAGAUACGUUUGCAUAUUUGUGGAGUGCGGGGGUCCAAAGAUGUCUGGACUAGCGACGCAUAUUUUAUAAUUGUAUAUUCGUAUGAGGAGAAAGCAGGGUGUGUGGACUAGCUAUGUACCUUCAGCGCAUUGCUUGUUUUGUGUGAUGUGCUAGGCAUCAUGUUUGUUCAUGUUAGAGCUAAACUUCCAUAGUGGGAGUUCUAUUUAUCUGAGUCAGUGGCUUGCGGUUUAGCAUCUCAUACCUCACAGAGUGACUCCCCUGUUACUCACUCCUCUUUUUUCCCGUUGCAGGUGAGCUUGCCGAGUAGCUGGAUAUUUUGACGGUUUGGUGUAUUUGGGAUAAUGUAUUUAUUUCGGUUUUUAAGUUAAUGAUUUAUACGACGUUUACUAUUUAUUUCACAUCUUUUAUAAUUCAAUUUAAGGAUGUAUUUUUAUUGAAUUUAUUUUAUUAAAUAUUUUUGUAUUUUAGGUUCCGAAUAACUCGGUUUAAUUCGAUAUUUUACCGGUAGUAACAUGCCGUUCUCGAGAGAGGAGGAGAUAGGUGUUACAACCUCAACGUUUGGUUUCUUCCCUUUCAGUCCUUUGUAUAGAGUUUUUCCAAUUAACGAUCUUGUUGCAAUCUUGCCAUGAAACUCCAGCUUCACGAUUGCGUUGUUUUAGCUGUUUGAUGCAUAGUUUUUGAUAGCUUCUCGUUUUUUU